This 461-nucleotide ribosomal RNA is filed under the name uncultured bacterium. RNAcentral describes it as "partial 16S ribosomal RNA". It matches the Rfam family "Bacterial small subunit ribosomal RNA", at positions 29 to 507 of the family's 1533-position model. The record is from RNAcentral.
ACGAACGCUGGCGGCGUGCUUAACCCAUGCCAGUCGAGCGGUAAGGCCUUUCGGGGUACACGAGCGGCGAACGGGUGAGUAACACGUGGGUGAUCUGCCCUGCACUUCGGGAUAAGCCUGGGAAACUGGGUCUAAUACCGGAUAUGACCUCCUAUCGCAUGGUGGGUGGUGGAAAGAUUUAUCGGUGCAGGAUGGGCCCGCGGCCUAUCAGCUUGUUGGUGGGGUAAUGGCCUACCAAGGCGACGACGGGUAGCCGACCUGAGAGGGUGACCGGCCACACUGGGACUGAGACACGGCCCAGACUCCUACGGGAGGCAGCAGUGGGGAAUAUUGCACAAUGGGCGAAAGCCUGAUGCAGCGACGCCGCGUGAGGGAUGACGGCCUUCGGGUUGUAAACCUCUUUCAGCAGGGACGAAGCGCAAGUGACGGUACCUGCAGAAGAAGCACCGGCUAACUACGUG